AGAUUUACUCAAUGAAAAGUGCAAACAGAGGAAUGUUUAUCUUGAUAUCUAAUGCUCAGUGUAUACCAUGUCUAGACAGCCAGAACGAACAAGACAAGAAGAAGGCGAAGAGAUGUGAGGAGAGAUAUUCAGAAUGUAUCAGGAAUUCAGACUUUGAUAAAUCCAACAUGAGUCAGCUAUUGAAAUACAUGGGAUAUGAUUUCAAAGGUGGCGACCAGGUUAAGAACUUAACAAAAGAGGAAAUCAAAGAGUUCUUAAAAACAAAAUUAAUGGAGAUCGACAGUGAUGCGUCUUCCCAGUACGAUAGCCUGGUUAUAUUGUUUUUGUCUGGGGAAGUAAAGUGCGAAGCUGCAAAGAUUUAUGACAAAGAUGGAGUCUUUCUUCCCAGAAGUGAAAUUUUAGACAUCAUUAAAGAAUGUAAACAUUUCAAAGGGAAACCAAAACUUAUAUUUGUUCAAACCUACAGUUUCCAAGAAGAAAGUAAACCUUCGGAUCAGAGAGAUUCUACAGCUAAUGAUAUCAUAAAGAAAGGUGGGCCAAACACUGAUGACAUAUUUAUGGUAUCAAGUUACCCAAGAAUAGAGCAAGGUCCAUGGAUAAUUGGUGAAAAAUUGAUUGGAUCAUACUUCAUUCAGGCACUCGCACAUGUGUUCAAGAACUUCGCAUAUAAAAAAUGAUUUAUGGAAUUAUUGAAAGAGGCGAACAUAUGUCUGGGCCAAGCUGUGAUUCCAAAGCUGACAGACGAUGGAAAAAACAGUGGGACGGUAGAGAAAAAACCUGUUGCACAAAUUGUUUUAUUAGAAUAUUCGGAAGGGAAAGAACUCUACUUUUUUCCUGGGCUUCAGUUUCCAGCAUAAGAUUUUAUAGGCGUCGAACCUGUAAAUUUUUCUGCUUCAAUGACUGGGAAACCAGUUUCUACAGCAUCAAAUUAAAGUUACUCUAUAAGCUACACUUCAUGCAGUUAAAACAUGUUAGAACAUAUCGCUUCUUUACUAAAUGACGCUUACUUUUAUUGGCAUCUUGUAUGAGAUAACAGAUAACAAUUUAGUAGAUUGUGUAUGAUAGUGCUAUUAUUUAUACUAAUAUUGUAGCAUAAUAUUAAUAAUAAUAUUAAUGAUAAUGAAUUCCUUAUUCAAAGAGUUUAUAAACACAGUUAGUUACAACAAACUAAUCUAUCCUGAGGCUAUCACACGCAAUACAAUUAUAACAGAUAUUGACACAUAGUUAAUUUACCAUCAAGUAGUUCAAUGUAUCAAUAUAAAACAUUAAACAUUUAAAGAGGAACAUGUAGUAAAAUAUAAACAAAAUAUAAUAUACAACUUGAAC
This is a long non-coding RNA of Mytilus californianus (California mussel), 1326 nucleotides long. RefSeq lists it as uncharacterized. The transcript has 6 exons. The record is from RefSeq and is a predicted model, not a curated record. Lineage: Eukaryota; Metazoa; Mollusca; Bivalvia; Mytilida; Mytilidae.